RNAcentral lists this ribosomal RNA (473 nucleotides) under Ralstonia sp. enrichment culture. Its description in RNAcentral is "bacterial SSU rRNA". It matches the Rfam family "Bacterial small subunit ribosomal RNA", at positions 505 to 978 of the family's 1533-position model. The record is from RNAcentral. Lineage: Bacteria; Pseudomonadati; Pseudomonadota; Betaproteobacteria; Burkholderiales; Burkholderiaceae.
GUGCCAGCAGCCGCGGUAAUACGUAGGGUCCAAGCGUUAAUCGGAAUUACUGGGCGUAAAGCGUGCGCAGGCGGUUGUGCAAGACCGAUGUGAAAUCCCCGGGCUUAACCUGGGAAUUGCAUUGGUGACUGCACGGCUAGAGUGUGUCAGAGGGGGGUNGAAUUCCACGUGUAGCAGUGAAAUGCGUAGAGAUGUGGAGGAAUACCGAUGGCGAAGGCAGCCCCCUGGGAUAACACUGACGCUCAUGCACGAAAGCGUGGGGAGCAAACAGGAUUAGAUACCCUGGUAGUCCACGCCCUAAACGAUGUCAACUAGUUGUUGGGGAUUCAUUUCCUUAGUAACGUAGCUAACGCGUGAAGUUGACCGCCUGGGGAGUACGGUCGCAAGAUUAAAACUCAAAGGAAUUGACGGGGACCCGCACAAGCGGUGGAUGAUGUGGAUUAAUUCGAUGCAACGCGAAGAACCUUACCAGG